RNAcentral lists this long non-coding RNA (536 nucleotides) under Ficedula albicollis (Collared flycatcher). RNAcentral describes it as "lncRNA (ENSFALG00000024981.1)". Lineage: Eukaryota; Metazoa; Chordata; Aves; Passeriformes; Muscicapidae. The record is from RNAcentral.
AAGGCUGUCAAGUUUAGAGCUAAUGUGGUACAAUUUGAUGGAGGUGUCUGCACAACCCUUGGGAUUUUUACCUCAUUGCACUGCUGUGUGGCUUUUCUGAAAAACAAAGUGGAUGGAGACUCUCCAGCAAAGUCGCAAAGUCGUGGUCUGUGGUGGCUGAUGCGUCUGAACUGACUGAUAAAAAAUGCGUGUUCAAGGUGACAAGCACUCAAGUCUGUAAGGAGGAGUUAAAGCUGCUGAAACACCAAGAUGAAAAGAAACUGUGGAAGAAAGUAGAACUGGAUGAAAGCAGAAGCCUUCUGGAUGAUUCUUGUGAAUUCACAAGAAGCAGAGAUUUGGGAAAAGCUGACCAGGAGAAAAAGCAUGCCCAGCUCUGGAAGGGCUUCUGGCCAUGCUGCCCUUUCGAUUGCACUGAGGAAUGCACUGAAGUCCUACCUGUCCUGGAGAUCCAAGGAACCUCUAGGGAUAUAGCUGAUCAACCUGGCAAUGGAAGGGAAAGCUGUCUGUGCUGCCAUCUGGGAGAGAAGUCAUUAUGA